AGCUCCAAUAGCGUAUAUUAAAGUUGUUGCGGUUAAAAAGCUCGUAGUUGGAUUUCUGUCGGUGAGUGGCGGUCCGCCCUAGUGGUUGGCACACGUCACGCCACCGGCAUCCUCCUGGGGACUGUGUCUGCUCUUCACUGAGUGGCGCAUAAUCCAGGACGUUUACUUUGAGGAAAUGAGAGUGUUUCAAGCAGGCAUGUGCCGUGAAUACGUUAGCAUGGAAUAAUAGCAUCGGACCUCGCUCCAAAGCUGUUGGUUUCUUGGAAUGAGGUAAAGGUGAAUAGGGAUUGUUGGGGGGCAUUCGUAUUUAACUGUCAGAGGUGAAAUUCUUGGAUUUG
Molecule: ribosomal RNA, 338 nt
Filed under: uncultured eukaryote
Lineage: Eukaryota
Description: SSU rRNA
Rfam family: Eukaryotic small subunit ribosomal RNA
Source: RNAcentral